Molecule: unclassified non-coding RNA, 413 nt
Filed under: soil metagenome
Description: partial contains 5.8S ribosomal RNA, internal transcribed spacer 2, and large subunit ribosomal RNA
Rfam family: 5.8S ribosomal RNA (bases 1-120)
Source: RNAcentral
GAUGAAGAACGCAGCGAAAUGCGAUAAGUAAUGUGAAUUGCAGAAUUCAGUGAAUCAUCGAAUCUUUGAACGCACCUUGCGCUCUCUGGUAUUCCGAAGAGCAUGCCUGUUUGAGUGUCAUGAAAAUAUCAACCUUGACUUGGGUUUUGUGCUCUAGUCUCGGCUUGGAAUUGGGUGCUUGCCGCUUUUACGAGCGGCUCACCUUAAAUGUAUUAGCUGGCUCUGUCUUUGAGACUUGGUUUGACUUGGCGUAAUAAGUAUUUCGCUAAGGACAUUCUUCGGAGUGGCCUCGUUUCUAGGACGCUUGUCCGCUUUCCAAUACAAGUUCCACCUCGUGGACAUGACUUUUUAUUAUCUGGCCUCAAAUCAGGUAGGACUACCCGCUGAACUUAAGCAUAUCAAUAAGCGGAGGA